AUAAUCGUUGACCAGUACAGACUAUUCUUACGUGACAAGAUUUAUCGGCAAAGGAUGGGCCUGCGUCUGAUUAGCUAGUUGGUGGGGUAACGGGCCCACCAAGGCGACGAUCAGUAGCCGGACUGAGAGGUUGACCGGCCACAUUGGGACUGAGACACGGCCCAAACUCCUACGGGAGGCAGCAGUGGGGAAUAUUGCACAAUGGGCGAAAGCCUGAUGCAGCGACGCCGCGUGAGCGAAGAAGUAUUUCGGUAUGUAAAGCUCUAUCAGCAGGGAAGAAGAAUGACGGUACCUGACUAAGAAGCACCGGCUAAAUACGUG
Molecule: ribosomal RNA, 321 nt
Filed under: uncultured bacterium
Lineage: Bacteria
Description: partial 16S ribosomal RNA
Rfam family: Bacterial small subunit ribosomal RNA
Source: RNAcentral